AUAUUUAUAGUAAUAAUUAUAAUUUAUACUUUAAUUUUAUUAGUCAUAGACUUGAAUUUAUAUUUUGUUUUAACUAGCAAGUUAGUAAGUUACUAAUAACAGUAAGCUAGUAAUAGUUAGUUAGUUAGUUUGCUAUAAUCUCUUUAAUAGUAUUAAAUUGAGUUAUAAUUCAUUAAUUCUCAUUGGCCACUCGAUAAAAACACGGAUUAGAAUCCAUACCCCCUCAUCAAAACACCCUCACAACCGCUGAUUAAACUCAUCUUUAAUCCAAUGUCCUUAUUCAUCUUCCCAAUAAUGAAACCUAAUACGUAGUAAAAAAAAAUCCCCUCAAAAAAAAAAUAAAAAUAAAUAAACCUAAUAAAAAAAAAAAAACCUAAUCAAAAUCGGCAAACUUUAACUCUGCUUCAAUUUUUUUCAUUCAAACCCUAUAAUCACGGUUAUCCUCUUCAACUCUCCUUCAAUUAUAACUUUAAUAGCACGGUUCAUCACCAAUUCACCACCCAAUCAGGCGAUCAGCAAGAACUCACAAGGAACGCGCCUCCGCUACCCACCAAUACGCAGGUUAGUCAUUGUGAAUAAGGAGCCCAUUGCCGGAGAAGUGGUGCGGUAUGCUCUCAAAACAGAGGGGUGGCAGCGUGUGUAGUUGUGUACAAGAGAGUGCUGAUUUUUGGUUGAGGUUCCUGAUGCAUCUGUUUCUGCUGCUAUUUUUGGUUGCUGCUACUCCACUGCCUUGUGGAUGUUCCUCCUAGUGAUUGAGUGUGGUUGCUGCUGCUGCUCGACUGCAUUGUGGAUAAUUUUUGUUUUAUAUAAUUUCUGCUUAGUUUUCUAAAGUAAAUUUGCUAAGUGGUUGGUGUUUUUGUUUACUGAUUUGUGGAUCUUACUACUACCUAAUAAACAGGUUACUAUUGUCACAGGACUUCGUAUAAAUUCUAUGGUUGAUACACUCUUGUUUUGAGAGAAUCUGAUACUUGGGGA
This is a long non-coding RNA of Chenopodium quinoa (quinoa), 975 nucleotides long. RefSeq lists it as uncharacterized. Lineage: Eukaryota; Viridiplantae; Streptophyta; Magnoliopsida; Caryophyllales; Amaranthaceae. The record is from RefSeq and is a predicted model, not a curated record. The transcript has 3 exons.